This is a long non-coding RNA of Eubalaena glacialis (North Atlantic right whale), 344 nucleotides long. RefSeq lists it as uncharacterized. The transcript is spliced from 3 exons. The record is from RefSeq and is a predicted model, not a curated record. NCBI's taxonomy places the organism in Eukaryota, Metazoa, Chordata, Mammalia, Artiodactyla, Balaenidae.
CUGGCUCAAGAGGCGUCUCAUCUACUACACCCAGACCAGGUGAAACUCACCAGAGAAGAGCCUUUGGAUGGGACUUCCGGGUGCCUUAGGGGUGGGCAUGUUUUGUGUGGAAGGAAAAUGCACAGCAUGCGGGAUCUUAGUUCCUCGACCAGGAAUCGAACCUGUGCCACCUGCAGUGGAAGCGUGGAGUCCUAACCACUGGACCACCAAAUGGUUCCUGUUCUCUGGUGAGGACCCUGCAGACCCGCCGUCUCCAGUCAGGGAGCCUUCCCAGAACUUCGCACAGCAAAUUGGCGGGCGUCUCACCUCCGGAGGCCCCUUGGCCCCUUGGUGGACUCCUCCCU